This is a long non-coding RNA of Fukomys damarensis (Damara mole-rat), 2607 nucleotides long. The record is from Ensembl. Lineage: Eukaryota; Metazoa; Chordata; Mammalia; Rodentia; Bathyergidae.
CAAUGCACUAAUGUAGAGAGAUAACGGUUCAUGCCCACACACACACACACUCACGCAUACCCAGGCUGGGUUUGUGCAGCCCGGAGGAGAGUCCUCUAGGAUGGGCAGAGGGGGCUUGGGGUGCUAAGGGCUUGGCCUGCUCCCAGCACAGGAUCCCGGGCCCCCCUCCCACAGCCCGGGCCAUCAGCUGAUGUGUCUGGCAGCCUUGGGCUGCAGUCUCCGCCCCUCUCGCUGGCAGCGGGUCCUGGCAGGGCUUCCCGGCCCGGCUCCUGCUCCGGCUCCGGCCCAUCACCCUCAGACACGAGGCCCCAUGGCCUCCUCGGCGCUCAACCACUCCUGGCCGGCUCUCUCCAAGCUGUGGCCGAAACGGUGGGCUUUCAAGAGAGGUUCUGAGCCCAAGUCAUGUGUCCAGCCCUUUGAUUCUGGAGCUGCAGCCUUGGCCACCAAGAGUAGCCGUGAGCCCUGGAGACCCGAGGACCCAGACGUUUUCUCCAUCAUGCAGGAUGAGCAGGAAGAUGAUUUUGCAGAACAGCUCAGCAAGAGCGCGGAGGACCUCAGCCUGGAUUGGGGGGCCCUGCAGGACAGCGAGUAUCUCCAGGACCUGGGCCUGGCGGCCUCUUCCCCCUGCCUGCCCGGUGGGGCCGCGGACAGCAGCUCCCCGAAGACAGAAACUGAGAGAGACGCGCCCUUCUCCAGCUCGGAUGGGGCCCAGACUCUGGUGCAGAGGCGCAGCUGGGAGCGGUCGCGGAGCUGCUCCGAGGACUGGCGGAGGCUCAGCUGCGACCCCCUGCCUUUGGAGGAGAUCCCCUGCCUCCCCCGGACACUGGCUAGUCUGGCUCUCAACCUGUCGGGAGAAGGCCUGAAGACUUGGACCCAGGGCUGUCUGCCUAGGGGCGGGGCCGCAGCAGAAUCCCCAGGCAAGGACCAUGGCAGCCCCAAGGAGAAGAGAGAGAGGUCACGAUCGGCGCCCCUGGCCUGCGGGGAGAGCAGCUCCCCAGAAGCGGCAACUGUGAGAGGCCUCGAACCCCCGGAGCUGGAGAGCCUGGAAAAGGAUCACGUGGAGCCCGACCACGUGGCGCGGCAAAGGGCUCACCUGGCCACCAGCCCCGGAGCGCCCCACUCCAGCCUCACCUGGUUCGAGUUCCUGUCGGAGAGCGAGGACUGUGCCUCCAAGAGUGAGAAGAGCACCAGGAGCACCAGGGUGAAGCGGAGUCUGAGCUCCCUCCGCAGCCGGGUCACCAGGCAGAAGGAGAAGGGAAAGAGCCCAGCGCAGCUGAAGGACAAGGCUCCGGACAGCAGGGAGAAGUGGGAAUGCACCAGCGGGCACCAGCUGGUGCGGGGGACCUUCGCCGGCCACUCCAGCUGCCCGCUGUGCAGCAAGCCGCUCCUGAGUCCCGGUGAGUCCCGCACCCCAAUCCACCCACCCUCCCUCUUCUUUGCCGCCUCAGCCUCCUUUGCACGAACCCAGUUGGUUCUGGAGGGCUGGUUGUAACUCAAGCUGGUCGUAACUCAAGCUGGUCGUGAAGGCGCAGGCUCGUCUACCCAGCCUUCAACGUCUCUCUGCUGUACACAGGCCGGUCUCAGGGUCCUCAGAGAGACACUGGCCCAGGUUUUCUCGGUGAACCCCACACAGGAAAAGGAUGUGGCAAUGUUCUUUCCAGAACUCUUUACGGGUCAGGUCUUUAUCUGAGGCCAUCUGGAAGCACAGGCGGCCGGCAUUUGGGUCGUAACUCGAGACGUUGUACCACCAAAGGUGGCCUUCUGGUCAUAACCCAAGUCAUUUGUAUGUCAGGCUGCUCAUGACUCGGGGGUCCGCUGUGUUUCCUCUUCCCCUGCAUGGACAGCUUUCUCGGGCUUUCUGGAGGGAAGCAGGGUUAGGUGACCACGGACAGAGGCAUUUGGGUGGUCUCGGGCCGCGACACCUCCUUAUGUCUGGACUUUUAGCCCUGCCAGGACCUGGUCCUGUUGGCUCAGGGCCACGCUACCCCGGUGUGGUCUCAGCUCUCCAUGCGUGUGCCACAACUGCAUUUGCAAAUAAGAUCACCUAGCCGGGCAUGGUGGCUCCCACCUGUCAUCCCAGCACUUGGGAGGCUAAGGCAGGAGGAUCGCUGGGAGUUCGAGACCAGCCUGGGCUACACAGUGAGUUCCAGGUCAGUCUCACUACAUAGUGAGACCCUGUCUAAAAAAAAAAAAAAAAAAAAAGCGAAAAACAAAAAACCAAAUAAGAUCACCUGCGGACGCCUGGGGAGGGAGGUUAGGCCGACAACCUGUGAACGAGGGGGGCCCUUUCGUCGUUAACAAGGGAAUUCCUAACCCCCAGAUUGUGGGGUACCGGUAACCAGGGUCUCUGCUCAGAAACUGGACGGAGAAGCUGGGCGUGGUGGUGCCCACCUGUCAUGCCAGCCACUCGGGGGAGGCUGAGGCAGGAAGAUUACAAGUUUGGGGCCGGCCGGUGAAAUUUAGCUAGACCUUAUCAUAAAUAAAAUAAAAUCAUAAAGUAACAUGGGCUGGGGACAUAGCUCAGUAGUAGACUCCUUGCCUAGCAUGCCCAAGGCCCUGGGUUCAAGGCUCAGGACUGCAGAAAGAGUUUCAAGAUAUCGCCAGAGG